Molecule: long non-coding RNA, 765 nt
Filed under: Anas platyrhynchos platyrhynchos (common mallard)
Lineage: Eukaryota; Metazoa; Chordata; Aves; Anseriformes; Anatidae
Description: lncRNA (ENSAPLG00000017020.1)
Source: RNAcentral
AUAUAAUCAUAUUAAUUACAUUUUAAAACUUUUAAUUCUACUUUUAUAUUUUUUUUUUUAUUGACUGAAUUGGGGAUUGGACACAUACAAGGCCAUGGAAUAGUGUGGUGCUGAGCUGUGUCCCUGAAGAUGAGCUGUGCCCCUUUUUCCUACAGAAAUCACCAGGAACCAAUGAAUGAGCCCCAAAACAGCUGCCCCAGUGACUUUGGCAAAGAGGGAGGCUUUUGGCUCUGCAUUUAUAUUUGCAAUACCAGUCCAGUUCUUCAUCACUAAGGGGGCACAGGAUAAUGCUGCUAUCAGCUUCCUUACUUCAUCUCCAGUUCAUGCAACAGCUGCAUCUUUGAAAAGUGUCUGUAACAAAUGAUGGUAAGCAAUUUUUAUUUAAUUUCUGAAACAAAGCCAAAAUAUUUUAAGAUGAGUAAUAGAGUACAAGACAGUCUGACCUGAGUCCUAUUUUAUUAAUAUUUUUUGUAGUAGACACCUCAAAGAAAAGACGCUUCAUAAUGGUCUGUAGAGACCCUACAGAUUUUCUACAACCCAUGAUGUACAGAGGGCUGUCUGUUACCCAGUCCUGGGGCACAGCAUCAAGAAACACAGCAGUACUAUCAAUGUGAAAUUUCACCUAGUAGGAUUCUUAAGAAUUUCUCCUAGAAGACUUCAUGGGCACGUCUGUGCUCUGCAGCAAGGCAUGAAGCCUUGCGGACAGCAACAUCUUCUUCUUGUCUUGAUGGCAGGCCGUCAAAGGCCUGUACCAGGAACACAAGC